UACGGGGGGGGGCAAGCGUUGUUCGGAAUUACUGGGCGUAAAGGGCUCGUAGGCGGCCAACUAAGUCAGACGUGAAAUCCCUCGGCUUAACCGGGGAACUGCGUCUGAUACUGGAUGGCUCGAGUUUGGGAGAGGGAUGCGGAAUUCCAGGUGUAGCGGUGAAAUGCGUAGAUAUCUGGAGGAACACCGGUGGCGAAGGCGGCAUCCUGGGACCAACACUGACGCUGAUGAGCGAAAGCCAGGGGAGCAAACAGG
This 255-nucleotide ribosomal RNA is filed under the name uncultured bacterium. RNAcentral's name for it is "partial 16S ribosomal RNA". It matches the Rfam family "Bacterial small subunit ribosomal RNA", at positions 524 to 776 of the family's 1533-position model. The record is from RNAcentral.